CAAAGGUUUGGUCCUGACUUUCCUGUCGACUCUAGCUAUAUUUACACAUGCAAGUAUCCGCACCCCAGUGAGGAUGCCCCAACAUCCCCCUUACUGGGGGAAAGGAGCAGAUAUCAGGCACAAUAACACGUUAGCCCAAGACAUCUUGCUAAGCCACACCCCCAAGGGAUUUCAGCAGUGAUAAAUAUUAAGCAAUAAGUGCAAACUUGACUUAGUUAAUGCUAAGAGAGCCGGUAAAUCUCGUGCCAGCCACCGCGGUUAUACGGGCGGGCUCACGUUGACAGUUCUGCGGCGUAAAGGGUGGUUACUUGAACUCAUCACUAAAGCCAAACACCUCCUAAGCAGUAAUACGCUCAUGAAGGAAAGAAGCCCUUUUACGAAAGUAGCUUUAUGCUAUUGACGCCUCCAAAGCUGAGGCACAAACUGGGAUUAGAGACCCCACUAUG
Molecule: ribosomal RNA, 446 nt
Filed under: Lepadogaster purpurea (Cornish sucker)
Lineage: Eukaryota; Metazoa; Chordata; Actinopteri; Blenniiformes; Gobiesocidae
Description: partial small subunit ribosomal RNA
Rfam family: Bacterial small subunit ribosomal RNA
Source: RNAcentral